This 961-nucleotide ribosomal RNA is filed under the name Aeromicrobium choanae. RNAcentral's name for it is "bacterial SSU rRNA". It matches the Rfam family "Bacterial small subunit ribosomal RNA", at positions 37 to 1010 of the family's 1533-position model. Lineage: Bacteria; Bacillati; Actinomycetota; Actinomycetes; Propionibacteriales; Nocardioidaceae. The record is from RNAcentral.
UGGCGGCGUGCUUAACACAUGCAAGUCGAGCGGUAAGGCUCCUUCGGGAGUACACGAGCGGCGAACGGGUGAGUAACACGUGAGUAACCUGCCCCAUUCAUCGGAAUAACCAGUGGAAACGCUGGCUAAUGCCGAAUACGACCACCGAAGGCAUCUUCUGGUGGUGGAAAGCUCCGGCGGAAUGGGAUGGACUCGCGGCCUAUCAGCUUGUUGGUGAGGUAAUGGCUCACCAAGGCGACGACGGGUAGCCGGCCUGAGAGGGUGACCGGCCACACUGGGACUGAGACACGGCCCAGACUCCUACGGGAGGCAGCAGUGGGGAAUAUUGGACAAUGGGCGAAAGCCUGAUCCAGCAACGCCGCGUGAGGGAUGACGGCCUUCGGGUUGUAAACCUCUUUCAGCAGGGACGAAGCGAAAGUGACGGUACCUGCAGAAGAAGGACCGGCCAACUACGUGCCAGCAGCCGCGGUAAUACGUAGGGUCCGAGCGUUGUCCGGAAUUAUUGGGCGUAAAGGGCUCGUAGGCGGUUUGUCACGUCGGAAGUGAAAACUCAGGGCUCAACCCUGAGCGUGCUUACGAUACGGGCAAACUAGAGGUAUGCAGGGGAGAACGGAAUUCCUGGUGUAGCGGUGGAAUGCGCAGAUAUCAGGAGGAACACCGGUGGCGAAGGCGGUUCUCUGGGCAUUACCUGACGCUGAGGAGCGAAAGCAUGGGGAGCGAACAGGAUUAGAUACCCUGGUAGUCCAUGCCGUAAACGUUGGGCGCUAGGUGUGGGGACCUUCCACGGUCUCCGUGCCGCAGCUAACGCAUUAAGCGCCCCGCCUGGGGAGUACGGCCGCAAGGCUAAAACUCAAAGGAAUUGACGGGGGCCCGCACAAGCGGCGGAGCAUGCUGAUUAAUUCGAUGCAACGCGAAGAACCUUACCUGGGUUUGACAUAUGCCGGAAAGCCGUAGAGAUACG